AGGGGGCACCGGGAGGAGGUGAGUGUCUCUCGUCGCCUCCUCCUCUCCCCCCUU
MicroRNA precursor from Aotus nancymaae (Ma's night monkey), 54 nucleotides. NCBI's taxonomy places the organism in Eukaryota, Metazoa, Chordata, Mammalia, Primates, Aotidae. The record is from Ensembl.